GAUGAACGCUGGCGGCGUGCCUAAUACAUGCAAGUCGAGCGAACGGACGAGAAGCUUGCUUCUCUGAUGUUAGCGGCGGACGGGUGGGUAACACGUGGAUAACCUACCUAUAAGACUGGGAUAACUUCGGGAAACCGGAGCUAAUACCGGAUGAUAUUUUGAACCGCAUGGUUCAAAAGUGAAAGACGGUCUUGCUGUCACUUAUAGAUGGAUCCGCGCUGCAUUAGCUAGUUGGUAAGGUAACGGCUUACCAAGGCAACGAUGCAUAGCCGACCUGAGAGGGUGAUCGGCCACACUGGAACUGAGACACGGUCCAGACUCCUACGGGAGGCAUCAGUAGGGAAUCUUCCGCAAUGGGCGAAAGCCUGACGGAGCAACGCCGCGUGAGUGAUGAAGGUCUUCGGAUCGUAAAACUCUGUUAUUAGGGAAGAACAUAUGUGUAAGUAACUGUGCACAUCUUGACGGUACCUAAUCAGAAAGCCACGGCUAACUACGUG
RNAcentral lists this ribosomal RNA (497 nucleotides) under uncultured bacterium. Its description in RNAcentral is "partial 16S ribosomal RNA". It matches the Rfam family "Bacterial small subunit ribosomal RNA", at positions 28 to 507 of the family's 1533-position model. The record is from RNAcentral.